RNAcentral lists this ribosomal RNA (446 nucleotides) under uncultured bacterium. RNAcentral describes it as "partial 16S ribosomal RNA". It matches the Rfam family "Bacterial small subunit ribosomal RNA", at positions 330 to 792 of the family's 1533-position model. The record is from RNAcentral.
UCCAGACUCCUACGGGAGGCAGCAGUGGGGGAUAUUGCACAAUGGGGGGAACCCUGAUGCAGCGACGCCGCGUGGGUGAAGGAGCGUUUCGGCGCGUAAAGCCCUAUCGGCAGGGAAGAAGGAGGACGGUACCUGACUAAGAAGCCCCGGCUAACUAUGUGCCAGCAGCCGCGGUAAUACGUAGGGGGCAAGCGUUAUCCGGAUUUACUGGGUGUAAAGGGGGCGCAGACGGCAGCGCAAGCCAGGAGUGAAAGCCCGGGGCCCAACCCCGGGACUGCUCUUGGAACUGCGCGGCUGGAGUGCAGGAGGGGCAGGCGGAAUUCCUGGUGUAGCGGUGAAAUGCGUAGAUAUCAGGAGGAACACCGGUGGCGAAGGCGGCCUGCUGGACUGCAACUGACGUUGAGGCCCGAAAGCGUGGGGAGCAAACAGGAUUAGAUACCCUUGUA